Molecule: ribosomal RNA, 254 nt
Filed under: uncultured bacterium
Lineage: Bacteria
Description: partial 16S ribosomal RNA
Rfam family: Bacterial small subunit ribosomal RNA
Source: RNAcentral
UACGUAGGGGGCGAGCGUUGUCCGAAGUUACUGGGCGUAAAGCGCGCGUAGGCGGUUUCUUAAGUCUGGGGUGAAAGGUUCAGCGCUCAACGCGAACAGUGCCUUGGAUACUGGGAGACUUGAGUCUGGGAGGGGGCAGUGGAAUUCCUGGUGUAGCGGUGAAAUGCGUAGAUAUCAGGAGGAACACCGGUGGCGAAGGCGGCUGCCUGGCCUAAGACUGACGCUGAUGUGCGAAAGCGUGGGGAGCGAACGGG